RNAcentral lists this ribosomal RNA (387 nucleotides) under uncultured bacterium. RNAcentral describes it as "bacterial SSU rRNA". It matches the Rfam family "Bacterial small subunit ribosomal RNA", at positions 29 to 418 of the family's 1533-position model. The record is from RNAcentral.
AUUGAACGCUGGCGGCGUGCCUAACACAUGCAAGUCGAGCGGUAACAGGUGUAGCAAUACAUGCUGACGAGCGGCGGACGGGUGAGUAACGCUUGGGAAUCUGCCUGUUAGUGGGGACAACCCGGGAAACUCGGGCUAAUACCGCAUACGCACUACGGUGGAAAGCCCGGGGACCGCAAGGCCUGGCGCUAACAGAUGAGCCCAAGUCGGAUUAGCUAGUUGGUAGGUAACGGCCACCAAGGCGACGAUCCGUAACUGGUCUGAGAGGACGACCAGUCACACCGGAACUGAGACACGGUCCGGACUCCUACGGGAGGCAGCAGUGGGGAAUCUUGCGCAAUGGGCGAAAGCCUGACGCAGCGACGCCGCGUGAGGGAUGACGGCCUC